AAUCCAUGGUAAGGGCACCUUCUCAAAAGGUCCUUGUAUCUCUACCAUGUAUCGUGGAGUGUUUCUAAAUCCAUCUGCACAAAAUAAGAGAUAUCAUUAUGUAAUU
This 106-nucleotide small nucleolar RNA is filed under the name Gossypium hirsutum (cotton). RNAcentral's name for it is "Plant small nucleolar RNA R71". It matches the Rfam family "Plant small nucleolar RNA R71". Rfam says of the family: R71 is a member of the C/D box family of snoRNAs containing the C (UGAUGA) and D (CUGA) box motifs. Multiple nearly identical copies of this snoRNA have been identified in Arabidopsis, and it is thought to function as a 2'-O-ribose methylation guide for 18S ribosomal RNA. The record is from Rfam by way of RNAcentral. Lineage: Eukaryota; Viridiplantae; Streptophyta; Magnoliopsida; Malvales; Malvaceae.